RNA transcript from Mangifera indica (mango), 3545 nucleotides. RefSeq lists it as uncharacterized. Lineage: Eukaryota; Viridiplantae; Streptophyta; Magnoliopsida; Sapindales; Anacardiaceae. The record is from RefSeq and is a predicted model, not a curated record. The transcript is spliced from 8 exons.
AAAAGGUCAUUCUACAAUCUAGACCUGUGACUGCCCUCUAAUCACAGGCCAAUUAUAACCGACGAUUCCAAAGCUGAUUGGUCUGUUCAACCUGCAACUUCCUCACUCCCUCUCAUCGUAUUCUCUCUCUCUCUCUCUCUCAAAUUGCGUAUCGCUCACCCACAGCCUACGAUUAUAUUCAGUGUCAGCAAUUUCAUUUUUGGAAUUGGCACCUUAAUUGAAAAUUUCCGCUCUUCAAUUUUCAAAACCCUAACGUUCAAUAUUUAUAUAUUCAAAUACAAUUUCUCCAGUUUCUGUCUUGCGCAAAAAAGUACAGCAGGAAUAAAUGAGAGGGGAAGGAGUUCUAAGAGAUCAUUCUCAAGGUAGACAGUGGCCUGGGAAGCGAACUCUUAGGGGCUGCAAGAUGAAAGGGAAUCUUGAUAAUGUUGUUUACAUUGAUGUCGACAGUGAAAAUCUUGAUAAUGUCAUUAUCAUUGAUGUUCCUGAGUCUUUGCAACAAAAAAUACGGGGAUCUAAUUUAGGGAAAGGUAAAAAUAUUCAGUUCAGAGGCAUAAUUAACAUUGAUGAUGAUGAAAGCAAUGGAGUGGAGUUUUCCGGGGUUGGUGUAGAAGGUGGUACUGAUUUGGACAGUGAUACCUCUUCUAGCAAAAGUUUUCCUGCUCCUGAAUCUGUGCAUAAUUCUCUGAACUUAAGCGAUGAUGAAUGCCAGGUUGUUAGUGAAAAAAAUUCUGUAUUCAGAGUAUCUAAGUGCAAGCAGUCCUGCUCUGGGAAAUUUCCCUGUAGAAAUCGUUAUGGUUUAAGUUCAGAGAGCGAGAGUGACUCAUCAGAUAGUGAUUGUUCUGAUUGUGAGCUGAUGGAAGGUUCUUUUGGAAAGCUUCAUAAAGAGUGGGAAAAAGCUUCUCUGAAGAGAAAAUCUAAUUUUUGUGGAGGUAAAUCUGGUUUUGAGGAUCAAUCUAGUCCCUCUUGUGCCAAUGAUGAUGCAGGUGCUGAAGGAGGGAAAAGGGCUGAACAACACUCUGAUGCUGCUGCUCACUGUAAAUCUAGCACUGACAAUUAUAAGAAGCAUAAUUCUGCCUUUGAUCCAACAGAUGACCGAGACUUGGGCUCUUCUCUAAAUUCUGGAAUGAGAUGUUCUUUUGUGGAGUCUGAUCAGAAUGUUGGCCAAGAAAGUAGUUUUCAUGAUGAAGAGCAAAUAUCUCCUAAGACGGGAACCUGCUUUAUGGGUAAGCAAAAAAAAUUUAUAGGAGAACGGGUUACUCCACAAGGAUUUAACUGGUUUUUUAACCAUAGUAAAACUGGUUUGGAGGAUGAAGACGGUUUUUUAUUCAAGGGCCAAAAAUCUGGUACAACAUAUUCUAAUAAUGAGAGAGUUUUUCCAAGUGACAAAUAUGAAGAGUUUUCUCAGACAUCUAGUUGCUGUGCGUCUCAUCAAAAGGCUCAUAAUACUGGAACUGGAUUCAUGGAAAAAGAGAAACCUGUUUGUAAGGAGCCCUUUGUUUCAAGUUCUCGACCAUCUUACAAAGCAAGAGCUGAAUGUAGUGCAGCUCCUUUUGAGCAUAAUGUCGGGGAUGCCUUUGACGAAUCUUUCUUAUUCAAGACUUCCUCACCAAGGAUGCCGGAAAUUUGUAAUGAGAAGGUUGGCCAAGUAGAUACAGAGAAACCUGACCCUGAGAGGAUUUCUGAGUGUAACACAGAGUGUGCUGAAACACAAAGUAAGCAGGGGAAUUCAUGUUCUGAAGAACUUGGGGAGCAAGUUAUUGGUUCAACAGCUGAUAGUCGACCAUGUAAUGGAAGGGAUCCAGUUUAUGCUCAAAGUGAUGCUGUGAUACCUGAUUUGCAAAAUGAUAUAAUUAGUAAACGUGAAAAACUCAAGGAGACUGAUGAAUACAAGCGAGCAAUGGAAGAAGAAUGGGCAUCCAGGCAGCUGCAGCUACAAAUUCAGGGAGAAGAGGCCCAAAGGUUGCGUAAGAAAAGACGAGCAGAAAGCAUCCGUUUAUUAGACAUGGAGAGAAGGCAAAAACUACGGCUGGAAGAAAUUAGGGAGACACAAAAGAAGGAUGAGGAGAAUAUGAACUUGAAAGAGCAACUCCGUGUUGAAGUGAGAAAGGAGCUUCAUAAAUUGGAAACAACAUGCAUUGAUAUGGCCUCAUUACUUCAAGCCUUGGGAAUCAAUGUUGGAGGGAGUUUUCAUCCCUUGUCACAUGAAGUACGUGCAGCUUAUAAACGAGCUUUGUUAAAAUUUCAUCCUGACCGUGCAUCAAAGACUGACAUUCGACAGCAAGUUGAAGCCGAGGAAAAAUUUAAGCUUAUUUCUCGCAUGAAGGAGAAAUUUUUAUUAACUUAAUGUCAUUGAAUGCUAACAAAAGGUUACUAAUUGUACACUAUUCUUUUUGUUGGUGAUGAUUGCCAUUGACAAGAAGGCGUGAAGCAAGACUUGAAGUCCAUGUUGUGGUUGAACUGUUAUGAACUGCACUGGUGAAUGGACAUAAGUUGGAGACAGAGUGAAUUUGUAUCGUUGCAGAAUCAUUGAGAGAGUCAGCUUUGUUUCUAUAGAUGCAAAAUUCAAGCCUACACAUGUCCGAGGCCCCAAACCAAAGGGUAAAAAUGCCGCCAUGUUGUUGUUGGUAGCUUUAGCAACCCCUUCUGCAAAUCUUUCAGGUUUGAAAAGUUUGUCUGAUUCAAUAUCAUCUGGUGUCCUCACAAGCUUACUGCAACAAUUAAAAGCAGAGCCUCAGUUUUUAUAUUGAUUUUAAAGGACAACCAAAUCACAGAGAUGAAGCUUACUCAAGUACUGGAAUCCUUAUUCUGAAGGAACUUCUGAGAAUGAUGGUAACCAUCGUUGUUAGCAUAUUGAAUAUGUUCUUCCCUUCCAAGUAACUGCUUCCAAAAGCCGUCCUGGAGAUAAUUUCUGAUGUUAAAACCUUGAAUUCUUGGAAUACAUCAAUCUCCUUGCCUUCAUACUGUCUCCAUCUUUCUAGCAUCAUCUCCACACUCGCGAUCAUUGAAGGGAUCAUAUUCUACAAAAGGAAUAAACAUGAAAUCCUCUGUACCAGUUUCCAAUUGUUGGUUCGGGGAGUUGGGGGAAUUUUACCUUCAAGGUCUCCGCAUGGAAAGUGUAGUUGGCCAAUUUCCUUUGCUUCAACCAUUUUUGACCUUGCGCAGUUGCAAGCCCAUCUCCGAAAAGCUUCUUCGAAAUAUAUGCCAGCUUUCUUUUGGGAUUGGAGUCCACCAGAAUUUGUGAAUAAACUUGAAGACAACUAAGAGGAGUAGCAAGCAUAAACAACCUGAAAGGUAGACGGUCAUGGUUGCCAUCAUCACCAGAACCUUGUGCUUCUUUUUUCAAAAUCAGAAUCAGGAUCAACUUAAUGGGGUUAUUUUCUUCAACAAAAGUGGGAUAUAUAUGGACCAAGAUGAGGUUCAAGUGAGUGACAGAUCGAGAUCCAGAUUAAGCUUUGACUUAAUUUGAUAGAUGAGAGGGAAGCGAGGACGAUAUUCAGACUCGUGACAUGGCCAUUAAAUUAUAAUAAUUGAAUUUAUUACUAAAA